This 282-nucleotide ribosomal RNA is filed under the name uncultured bacterium. RNAcentral describes it as "partial 16S ribosomal RNA". It matches the Rfam family "Bacterial small subunit ribosomal RNA", at positions 524 to 799 of the family's 1533-position model. The record is from RNAcentral.
UACGGAGGAUCCGAGCGUUAUCCGGAUUUAUUGGGUUUAAAGGGUGGUCGGUAGGUGGUUUGUAUAAGUCAGCGGUGAAAGUUUGCAGCUUAACUGUAAAAUAGACCGUUGAAACUGUCGGACUUGAGUGUAAAUGAGGUAGGCGGAAUGCGUGGUGUAGCGGUGAAAUGCAUAGAUAUCACGCAGAACUCCGAUUGCGAAGGCAGCUUACUAAGCUACAACUGACACUGAAGCACGAAAGCGUGGGGAUCAAACAGGAUUAGAUACCCCGUACGUACCUCC